UACGGAGGGUGCAAGCGUUAUCCGGAUUUACUGGGUUUAAAGGGUGUGUAGGCGGGCCAUUAAGUCAGGGGUGAAAUCCCGGAGCUCAACUCCGGAACCGCCUUUGAUACUAUUGGUCUUGAAUGUUGUUGAGGUGGGCGGAACGGGUCAUGUAGCGGUGAAAUGCAUAGAUAUGACCCGGAACACCGAUUGCGAAGGCAGCCCGCUAAGCAACUAUUGACGCUGAGGCACGAAAGCGUGGGGAUCAAACAGG
RNAcentral lists this ribosomal RNA (253 nucleotides) under uncultured bacterium. RNAcentral's name for it is "partial 16S ribosomal RNA". It matches the Rfam family "Bacterial small subunit ribosomal RNA", at positions 524 to 776 of the family's 1533-position model. The record is from RNAcentral.